Molecule: long non-coding RNA, 398 nt
Filed under: Elaeis guineensis (African oil palm)
Lineage: Eukaryota; Viridiplantae; Streptophyta; Magnoliopsida; Arecales; Arecaceae
Description: long non-coding RNA (EGUI_LNC078583)
Source: RNAcentral
CCAAUUCAAUUGGACUUGAUCUAAAAAUAAUUACUCAAUCAAAUUGAGUUAAUUAGUGAUCAAAUCACUAAUUAAACCUCUCAUAAAUAUUGAGUCCAAAUUCAAUGGGCAAUUAGGCAUCAGAGACCAUCGACAUGAAACACUGAUCAAAGAGUUCAAAUUUCAAAUUCAAAAUUUGAAAUUCAAAAUUUUGACCCCGGUACCCAAAAUGUGUGGAACUCAUGAUCAGAGAAUCCUAAUUCUCAAUCAUAGAGUCUCAGACACAUAAGACUCAUAAUCAGCCAUCAUAUCAGAAAGGAACCUCUAAUGUGUGUGACCCCGCAGGUUCGAACCUAAGCCGGUAGCACAGGAACCAAUUCCUGUACUAAUCGAAAUGACCAUCUAGCAAUGGUACCCGA